CUGGGGGAUAGCCUUUCGAAAGGAAGAUUAAUACCCCAUAAUAUAUUUGAUGGCAUCAUUAGAUAUUGAAAACUCCGGUGGAUAGAGAUGGGCACGCGCAAGAUUAGAUAGUUGGUGAGGUAACGGCUCACCAAGUCAGUGAUCUUUAGGGGGCCUGAGAGGGUGAUCCCCCACACUGGUACUGAGACACGGACCAGACUCCUACGGGAGGCAGCAGUAAGGAAUAUUGGUCAAUGGAGGCAACUCUGAACCAGCCAUGCCGCGUGCAGGAAGACAGCCCUCUGGGUCGUAAACUGCUUUUAUUCGGGAAUAAACCUACUUACGUGUAAGUAGCUGAAUGUACCGAAGGAAUAAGGAUCGGCUAACUCCGUGCCAGCAGCCGCGGUAAUACGGAGGAUCCAAGCGUUAUCCGGAUUUAUUGGGUUUAAAGGGUGCGUAGGCGGCUUUUUAAGUCAGGGGUGAAAGACGGUAGCUCAACUAUCGCAGUGCCCUUGAUACUGAAGAGCUUGAAUGAACUAGAGGUAGGCGGAAUGUGACAAGUAGCGGUGAAAUGCAUAGAUAUGUCACAGAACACCGAUUGCGAAGGCAGCUUACUAUGGUCUUAUUGACGCUGAGGCACGAAAGCGUGGGGAUCAAACAGGAUUAGAUACCCUGGUAGUCCACGCCCUAAACGAUGAACACUCGCUGUUGGCGAUACACAG
This 701-nucleotide ribosomal RNA is filed under the name uncultured bacterium. Its description in RNAcentral is "bacterial SSU rRNA". It matches the Rfam family "Bacterial small subunit ribosomal RNA", at positions 136 to 836 of the family's 1533-position model. The record is from RNAcentral.